GGAGGUGUAGCUCAAGUGGUAGAGCCCCUGCUUAGCACGCUUAGCAUGGAAGGUCCUAGGUUCAAGUCCCAGUACCUCCU
Transfer RNA from Camelus ferus (Wild Bactrian camel), 80 nucleotides. It matches the Rfam family "tRNA". From Rfam's summary of the family: Transfer RNA (tRNA) molecules are approximately 80 nucleotides in length. The record is from Rfam. Lineage: Eukaryota; Metazoa; Chordata; Mammalia; Artiodactyla; Camelidae.